RNAcentral lists this ribosomal RNA (444 nucleotides) under uncultured bacterium. RNAcentral's name for it is "bacterial SSU rRNA". It matches the Rfam family "Bacterial small subunit ribosomal RNA", at positions 331 to 792 of the family's 1533-position model. The record is from RNAcentral.
CCAGACUCCUACGGGAGGCAGCAGUGGGGAAUAUUGCACAAUGGGGGAAACCCUGAUGCAGCGACGCCGCGUGGGUGAAGAAGUACUUCGGUACGUAAAGCCCUAUCAGCAGGGAAGAAAAUGACGGUACCUGAUUAAGAAGCCCCGGCUAACUACGUGCCAGCAGCCGCGGUAAUACGUAGGGGGCAAGCGUUAUCCGGAUUUACUGGGUGUAAAGGGAGCGUAGACGGCAUUGCAAGUCCGGAGUGAAAGCCCACGGCCCAACCGUGGGACUGCUCUGGAAACUGUAGAGCUGGAGUGCGGGAGGGGCAGGCGGAAUUCCUAGUGUAGCGGUGAAAUGCGUAGAUAUUAGGAGGAACACCGGCGGCGAAGGCGGCCUGCUGGACCGUAACUGACGUUGAGGCUCGAAAGCGUGGGGAGCAAACAGGAUUAGAUACCCUUGUA